AUCAGUACUUUAUGAUGUUGAUGAGCCAACUGUUCGGAGUCUUAAUGGUUGCAGGGUGGCAGAUCAAAUACUGAGGCUCGUGCCGAAUGUUGAGAAUUUUCGCACAACUCUUCGCUGUUUAAAGCUCUGGGCUAAAAGAAGGGGCGUAUAUUCAAAUGUUACUGGAUUUCUUGGAGGUGUCAACUGGGCGUUGUUGGUCGCUCGUGUCUGUCAGUUGUAUCCUAAUGCUGUCCCAAGUAUGUUACUUUCACGUUUUUUCAGAGUGUAUACACAGUGGAGGUGGCCCAACCCUGUGAUGUUGUGCGCCAUCGAAGAAGAUGAGCUUGGAUUCCCUGUAUGGGACCCACGGAAGAACCCCCGAGACCGGACGCACCAUAUGCCCAUCAUUACCCCUGCAUACCCUUCUAUGAAUUCCAGCUAUAACGUCUCAACUAGUACUCUCCGGGUAAUGAUGGAGCAAUUUCAGAAUGGUAACAAAAUUUGCGAGGAAAUAGAGCUGAACAAGGCGCAAUGGGGUACUCUUUUUGAGCCCUACCUAUUUUUUGAAGCAUACAAGAACUAUCUCCAGGUAGACAUUAUUGCUGCUGAUGUUGAUGAUUUACGAAAUUGGAAAGGAUGGGUUGAAUCCCGACUGAGACAGUUGACUUUAAAGAUCGAGAGGGACACCUGCGGAAUGCUGCAAUGCCAUCCAUACCCCUGUGAAUAUACUGACUGCUCCAAGCAAUUUGCACACUGUGCCUUCUUUAUGGGCUUGCAGAGAAAACAGGGGGUCAAGGUCCAGGAAGGGCAGCAAUUUGACAUAAGGGGAACUGUAGAUGAGUUCAGGCAUUCUGUGAACAUGUAUGUCUUCUGGAAGCCAGGGAUGGAGCUAUAUGUUUCUCAUGUUCGUCGGAAACAGAUUCCUCCUUUUGUCUUCCCAGAAGGGUAUAAGCGACCUAGGCCAUCCCGACAGGCGAGCCAGCAGAGACCCGAUGAUGAUGGUGGUGCUGGAUCGAACUCUCGUCCUAAGAGGAAAAAAGACAUGGAUGCUGAUGAUGCAAAGAUUAAAAGAUCGGAG
This 1057-nucleotide unclassified non-coding RNA is filed under the name Hevea brasiliensis (rubber tree). The record is from RNAcentral. Lineage: Eukaryota; Viridiplantae; Streptophyta; Magnoliopsida; Malpighiales; Euphorbiaceae.